RNAcentral lists this small nuclear RNA (104 nucleotides) under Carlito syrichta (Philippine tarsier). Lineage: Eukaryota; Metazoa; Chordata; Mammalia; Primates; Tarsiidae. The record is from RNAcentral.
GUAUUCUUGCCAAAAUAGUAAUAAUAUUGGGACGAUACAGAGAAGAUUAGUACAGCUACCUGCUCAAGGACUACACAAAAAUUCGUGAAGCAUUCCGUAUUUUU